This 577-nucleotide ribosomal RNA is filed under the name Melampsora sp. 181-2-1. RNAcentral's name for it is "eukaryotic LSU rRNA". The stretch from base 151 to 305 matches the Rfam family "5.8S ribosomal RNA". The record is from RNAcentral. Lineage: Eukaryota; Fungi; Basidiomycota; Pucciniomycetes; Pucciniales; Melampsoraceae.
UACCCCCACCAACCCAGAGGUGCAUUGUGGCCUUUAANGAGGUUAGCAGUGUAUCAGUACGUAUGACAAAGGCAACUUUGGCUUACAUUACAUAUAAGUUACCCCCCAUUUACACUUAAGAAGUUUUAAGAAUGAUACCUAUAACUAUAUAACUUUCAGCAAUGGAUCUCUAGGCUCUCACGUCGAUGAAGAACACAGUGAAAUGUGAUACGUAAUGUGAAUUGCAUAAUUCAGUGAAUCAUCGAAUCUUUGAACGCACUUUGCACCUUUUGGUUAUUCCGAGAGGUACGCCUGUUUGAAUGUCACGAAACCCCCCUCGUCUUUAACGCUUUCUAAAAGAGUUAUUGACGGAUUCUGAGUGUUGGCGUGUCAACGCCUCGCUUUAAAUAUAUCAGCACUUUUGGAUGGUUACAUGUUAGUUCAAAAGACGUACUUGAUGUCGUAUUUAUACAAUUCAUCGAGAUGGUCUUUGGUCGUAUCGACUAUCCGCUAAUAUGACGACUUGAAGAAUAGCUUCCUAACCCCAUUGAAUUUACCUUUAGACUUCAAAUCAGGUGGGACUACCCGCUGAACUUAA